Molecule: ribosomal RNA, 692 nt
Filed under: uncultured Alphaproteobacteria bacterium
Lineage: Bacteria; Pseudomonadati; Pseudomonadota; Alphaproteobacteria
Description: bacterial SSU rRNA
Rfam family: Bacterial small subunit ribosomal RNA
Source: RNAcentral
AGAGUUUGAUCCUGGUUCAGAACGAACGCUGGCGGCAGGCUUAAUACGUGCAAGUCGAACGGUUGUAGCAAUACAGCAGUGGCAGACGGGUGAGUAACACGUGGGAACCUACCUAGGGGUACGGAAUAACUCAGGGAAACUUGUGCUAAUACCGUAUACGACCUCAGGGUGAAAGAUUUAUCGCCCCUAGAUGGGCCCGCGUAGGAUUAGCUAGUUGGUGAGGUAAAGGCUCACCAAGGCGACGAUCCUUAGCUGGUCUGAGAGGAUGAUCAGCCACACUGGGACUGAGACACGGCCCAGACUCCUACGGGAGGCAGCAGUAGGGAAUAUUGGACAAUGGGGGCAACCCUGAUCCAGCAAUGCCGCGUGAGUGAUGAAGGCCUUAGGGUUGUAAAGCUCUUUCGCCAGGGAAGAUAAUGACGGUACCUGGAUAAGAAGCCCCGGCUAACUUCGUGCCAGCAGCCGCGGUAAUACGAAGGGGGCUAGCGUUGUUCGGAAUUACUGGGCGUAAAGCGCACGUAGGCGGUUUUCCAAGUUGGAGGUGAAAUCCCCGGGCUUAACCUGNGAACUGCCUCCAAGACUGGGAGACUCGAGUCCGAGAGAGGUGAGUGGAAUUCCAGUGUAGAGGUGAAAUUCGUAAAUAUUGGAAAGAACACCAGUGGCGAAGGCGGCUCACUGGCUCGGUACUGACG